Molecule: long non-coding RNA, 1381 nt
Organism: Oncorhynchus kisutch (coho salmon)
Lineage: Eukaryota; Metazoa; Chordata; Actinopteri; Salmoniformes; Salmonidae
Exons: 2
Source: RefSeq, a predicted model, not a curated record
GAACUCUAGAACCGUUCAAGCUAGAGACGCCCAACCAACUUUCACCUGUCCCAGCUAUCCUAUUCUAUCAAUCAUAUUACCUCAAGACAAGCUAGCAAGCACACGCAUUUACUUCAGGAAAUGUACUAUGAGUUUUUACUUGACCUUAGUUACCACCAGUGAAGUGUUGCUUCCAUACAGUGGCAGAUGUAGGUAUAGGCGACAUGAGCAGCUGCCCAGGGCGUCAUCUUGCUGGGGGCAGCACGGGGCGCCCACGCAAAAAAAUGUGGAAUUGUGACAUUUGCUCGAUUGGUUUUCUAUCGCUCAUUUGCACGUUACGUCAAUUAACCGUGGGCGCCCUGAUUCUAGUUUGUGAGCUAGGCAGGCUACUGCUUGUGAAGGUCUCGCACUCAGAAGUACGGGGGCCGCUACCAAAUUAAACCAAAGACAUAUUGUUUCAUUUUUGAAGGGGGGGUUCGCACAGGGAGCCAUACAAGCUAGAACCGCCACUGCUUCCAUGUGAGACCAGUAUGCCUACUAUUACGGAUGGGGAAGGGACAUAAUGUAUGAAUCGAAUUGUAUUGUGGUCCACGCGCAAAACGCUACCACACAGUCCACUGCCAUGACUGCUCCGAUCAAAGCUGGCGACGUGAGUUCUAACAUGACCAAGAUGCCCGAUGUCACUACCAAGAACAUCACCAUUCCCAAAGGAGCCAGUGCGUCCUUGCAGUCCAGCCACGUCACGCUCCUCAUCCACAUUGCGGUGGUGGGUUCGCUCAUACAGGGCCGUUUCUAGAGUACUCAUGUGCACUGAACACACAGCCAGGAUUAACAUCGGCGGCCUAGCUGGGCAAACUGUUUAACAAAUCAAUUUUAAACAUUUCAUUGAGGACGGUCAUGUGCGCAAAUUGGGAAGUACCGGACGAGAACACCUUUCUACUUCACGCAUGGGAAUUCAUAUUUGCGCUCAAACCAGUAGGCCUACCCAUUCCGUGGACACUGACAAUCACGUGACAAGCACGUGGACAAGCACAUAUGGCCUAACGUGUGGUCCACUCUGUGGAGGCAGGCUAUGAGGAUGUACGAAACUCCUUACUUGUUUGCUUCCUGUGUACAGACGACAGGGGUCGUUAGUGAUUGUUUUGCAGUUUAUGCAGUGUACAUUUUUGUUGUGCUAGGGGACAAUGUUGGUUGAUGCUUACGCAUCCAUUUAUCUGACCUGUUGCAUGUGUCCAUACAGUGGUAUUUCUAUUCCUGCAACUGCAAAGGAUACUUUGUCAGAGGGUUGAUGUACACUUGUGAUUUUUGUGUAGUAUAACGUUUAUUGUAAAAACAUCAUGAUAUAACUGUUGCAGCCUAAUAUGCUCAUAGAUUGUUCAAUAAAGUUUUGACAUGUACUUGU